RNAcentral lists this ribosomal RNA (441 nucleotides) under uncultured bacterium. Its description in RNAcentral is "SSU rRNA". It matches the Rfam family "Bacterial small subunit ribosomal RNA", at positions 26 to 518 of the family's 1533-position model. The record is from RNAcentral.
AGAGCGAACGCUGGCGGCAGGCUUAACACAUGCAAGUCGAGCGCCCCGCAAGGGGAGCGGCAGACGGGAGAGUAACACGUGGGAACGUACCCUUCAGUUCGGAACAACCCAGGGAAACUUGGGCUAAUACCGAAUACGUCCGUAAGGAGAAAGAUUUAUCGCUGAAGGAUCGGCCCGCGUCUGAUUAGCUAGUUGGUGGGUAACGGCCCACCAAGGCUACGAUCAGUAGCUGGUCUGAGAGGAUGAUCAGCCUCACUGGGACUGAGACACGGCCCAGACUCCUACGGGAGGCAGCAGUGGGGAAUAUUGGACAAUGGGCGCAAGCCUGAUCCAGCCAUGCCGCGUGGGUGAUGAAGGCCCUAGGGUUGUAAAGCCCUUUCGGCGGGGAAGAUAAUGACGGUACCGCAGAAGAAGCCCGGCUAACUUCGCGCCAGCAGCCGC